GCGCCUGUAGCUUAACUGGAUAAAGCGCAAGAUUCCGAAUCUUGUGAGUAGGGGUUCGAAUCCCCUCAGGCGCACAA
RNAcentral lists this transfer RNA (77 nucleotides) under Candidatus Levybacteria bacterium RIFCSPLOWO2_12_FULL_37_14. Its description in RNAcentral is "tRNA-Arg". It matches the Rfam family "tRNA". Rfam says of the family: Transfer RNA (tRNA) molecules are approximately 80 nucleotides in length. Lineage: Bacteria; Candidatus Levyibacteriota. The record is from RNAcentral.